RNAcentral lists this ribosomal RNA (506 nucleotides) under uncultured bacterium. RNAcentral describes it as "bacterial SSU rRNA". It matches the Rfam family "Bacterial small subunit ribosomal RNA", at positions 8 to 518 of the family's 1533-position model. The record is from RNAcentral.
AGAGUUGAUCAUGGCUCAGGACGAACGCUGGCGGCGUGCCUAACACAUGCAAGUCAACGGGACUAUACCGAUUAAUCUUCGGAAGCGUUGAUAUAGUUAGUGGCGGACGGGUGAGUAACACGUGAGCAACCUGCCUUUCAGAGGGGGAUACCGUUUGGAAACGAACGCUAAUACCGCAUAAUGCAGCGUGACCGCAUGAUCGUGCUGCCAAAGGAGCAAUCCGCUGAAAGAUGGGCUCGCGGCUGAUUAGAUAGUUGGUGGGGUAACGGCCUACCAAGUCGACGAUCAGUAGCCGGACUGAGAGGUUGAACGGCCACAUUGGGACUGAGACACGGCCCAGACUCCUACGGGAGGCAGCAGUGGGGAGUAUUGCGCAAUGGGGGCAACCCUGACGCAGCAACGCCGCGUGUGGGAAGAAGGUCUUCGGAUUGUAAACCAUUGUCUUCGGUGACGAUAAUGACGGUAACCGAGGAGGAAGCUCCGGCUAACUACGUGCCAGCCGCCGC